This is a long non-coding RNA of Scaptodrosophila lebanonensis, 231 nucleotides long. RefSeq lists it as uncharacterized. The record is from RefSeq and is a predicted model, not a curated record. NCBI's taxonomy places the organism in Eukaryota, Metazoa, Arthropoda, Insecta, Diptera, Drosophilidae. The transcript has 2 exons.
AGUAUGAAUUGCUUGGCAUUUCGAUUGGCUUGAAGGACUGACUUAUUUUGUAGAGCGCCCGUAGCUCAUGGCAGGUUAUGUGUUGCCUCUGGUCCUAUGUGGACCUAUAAUCCAGAGACUAACAAGAAAGGAAUGCUAAAGUCGAGCAGGCUCAACUCUUAAAUACCCUGUACCACCCCACAAAAAAGUAAUUAAAUUAAUUAAUUAAAUUAGUUACCUAAAAUAAUUUAA